This 30-nucleotide non-coding RNA is filed under the name Homo sapiens (human). Lineage: Eukaryota; Metazoa; Chordata; Mammalia; Primates; Hominidae. The record is from RNAcentral.
UGGGCCAAUGAGAGGAGCAAUUUCCUGGUC